UGCUGCCCUGAUUAGCUGAAGCCUCG
Molecule: non-coding RNA, 26 nt
Filed under: Mus musculus (house mouse)
Lineage: Eukaryota; Metazoa; Chordata; Mammalia; Rodentia; Muridae
Source: RNAcentral